AUACGGAGGAUCCGAGCGUUAUCCGGAUUUAUUGGGUUUAAAGGGAGCGUAGGCGGACGCUUAAGUCAGUUGUGAAAGUUUGCGGCUCAACCGUAAAAUUGCAGUUGAUACUGGGUGUCUUGAGUACAGUAGAGGCAGGCGGAAUUCGUGGUGUAGCGGUGAAAUGCUUAGAUAUCACGAAGAACUCCGAUUGCGAAGGCAGCCUGCUGGACUGUAACUGACGCUGAUGCUCGAAAGUGUGGGUAUCAAACAGGAUUAGAUACCCUGGUAGUCCACACAGUAAACGAUGAAUACUCGCUGUUUGCGAUAUACAGUAAGCGGCCAAGCGAAAGCGUUAAGUAUUCCACCUGGGGAGUACGCCGGCAACGGUGAAACUCAAAGGAAUUGGCGGGG
This 393-nucleotide ribosomal RNA is filed under the name uncultured bacterium. RNAcentral describes it as "partial 16S ribosomal RNA". It matches the Rfam family "Bacterial small subunit ribosomal RNA", at positions 523 to 918 of the family's 1533-position model. The record is from RNAcentral.